CCUACGGUGGAGCUGCAGUGGGGAAUAUUGGACAAUGGGCGAAAGCCUGAUCCAGCCAUGCCGCGUGUGUGAAGAAGGCCUUCGGGUUGUAAAGCACUUUCAGUGGGUAAGAAAGCCUUGGGGCUAAUACCCUCGAGGAAGGACAUCACCCACAGAAGAAGCACCGGCUAACUCCGUGCCAGCAGCCGCGGUAAUACGGAGGGUACGAGCGUUAAUCGGAAUUACUGGGCGUAAAGCGCGCGUAGGCGGUCUGAUAAGCCGGUUGUGAAAGCCCCGGGCUCAACCUGGGAACGGCAUCCGGAACUGUCAGGCUAGAGUGCAGGAGAGGAAGGUAGAAUUCCCGGUGUAGCGGUGAAAUGCGUAGAGAUCGGGAGGAAUACCAGUGGCGAAGGCGGCCUUCUGGACUGACACUGACGCUGAGGUGCGAAAGCGUGGGUAGCAAACAGGAUUAGAUACCCCGGUAGUC
RNAcentral lists this ribosomal RNA (466 nucleotides) under Vreelandella stevensii. RNAcentral describes it as "partial 16S ribosomal RNA". It matches the Rfam family "Bacterial small subunit ribosomal RNA", at positions 338 to 795 of the family's 1533-position model. The record is from RNAcentral. Lineage: Bacteria; Pseudomonadati; Pseudomonadota; Gammaproteobacteria; Oceanospirillales; Halomonadaceae.